GCCUAGGCUCUCAGAGGCGAAGAAGGACGUGAUAAGCUGCGAAAAGUUACGGGGAGAAGCACAUAUUUUAUGAUCCGUAAAUAUCCGAAUGGGGCAACCCGGUAUGCUGAAGGCAUAUCACCUCGUAAGAGGGGCAAACCCGGUGAACUGAAACAUCUAAGUAACCGGAGGAAGAGAAAACAAAAGUGAUUCCGUUAGUAGUGGCGAGCGAAAGCGGGAAAGCCCAAACCAUUUUAGUUACGGCUAGAGUGGGGUUGUAGGACCACGAUAUCUUAACAAAAACGAACGAGAAUUACCUGGGAAGGUAAGCCGCAGAAGGUGAAAGCCCUGUAUUGGUAAGUUUUUGAGCGGUAGUGGUAUCCUGAGUAGGGCGGGGCAGGUGAAACCCCGUUUGAAUCUACCGGCACCAUCCGGUAAGGCUAAAUACUCCUGAGAGACCGAUAGUGAACCAGUACCGUGAGGGAAAGGUGAAAAGAACCCUAAGUAAGGGAGUGAAAGAGAACCUGAAACCGUACGCUUACAAGCGGUCG
RNAcentral lists this ribosomal RNA (530 nucleotides) under Rhodosorus marinus. RNAcentral's name for it is "partial Bacterial large subunit ribosomal RNA". It matches the Rfam family "Bacterial large subunit ribosomal RNA", at positions 30 to 576 of the family's 2925-position model. The record is from RNAcentral. Lineage: Eukaryota; Rhodophyta; Stylonematophyceae; Stylonematales; Stylonemataceae.